This 543-nucleotide ribosomal RNA is filed under the name Bifidobacterium breve. RNAcentral describes it as "bacterial SSU rRNA". It matches the Rfam family "Bacterial small subunit ribosomal RNA", at positions 146 to 698 of the family's 1533-position model. Lineage: Bacteria; Bacillati; Actinomycetota; Actinomycetes; Bifidobacteriales; Bifidobacteriaceae. The record is from RNAcentral.
UCUCCUGGGAAACGGGUGGUAAUGCCGGAUGCUCCAGCUCACCGCAUGGUGUGUUGGGAAAGCCUUUGCGGCAUGGGAUGGGGUCGCGUCCUAUCAGCUUGAUGGCGGGGUAACGGCCCACCAUGGCUUCGACGGGUAGCCGGCCUGAGAGGGCGACCGGCCACAUUGGGACUGAGAUACGGCCCAGACUCCUACGGGAGGCAGCAGUGGGGAAUAUUGCACAAUGGGCGCAAGCCUGAUGCAGCGACGCCGCGUGAGGGAUGGAGGCCUUCGGGUUGUAAACCUCUUUUGUUAGGGAGCAAGGCAUUUUGUGUUGAGUGUACCUUUCGAAUAAGCACCGGCUAACUACGUGCCAGCAGCCGCGGUAAUACGUAGGGUGCAAGCGUUAUCCGGAAUUAUUGGGCGUAAAGGGCUCGUAGGCGGUUCGUCGCGUCCGGUGUGAAAGUCCAUCGCUUAACGGUGGAUCCGCGCCGGGUACGGGCGGGCUUGAGUGCGGUAGGGGAGACUGGAAUUCCCGGUGUAACGGUGGAAUGUGUAGAUAUC